RNAcentral lists this ribosomal RNA (793 nucleotides) under uncultured fungus. RNAcentral's name for it is "eukaryotic LSU rRNA". The stretch from base 1 to 241 matches the Rfam family "Eukaryotic small subunit ribosomal RNA", at positions 1593 to 1831 of the family's 1831-position model. Lineage: Eukaryota; Fungi. The record is from RNAcentral.
UUGCUCUUCAACGAGGAAUGCCUAGUAAGCGCGAGUCAUCAGCUCGCGUUGAUUACGUCCCUGCCCUUUGUACACACCGCCCGUCGCUACUACCGAUUGAAUGGCUUAGUGAGGCCUUGGGACUGGCUCAGGGAGGUCGGCAACGACCACCCAGAGCCGGAAAUUUGGUCAAACUUGGUCAUUUAGAGGAAGUAAAAGUCGUAACAAGGUUUCCGUAGGUGAACCUGCGGAAGGAUCAUUACUGAGAUAGGGUUCCUUCGAGCCCGACCUCCAACCCUUUGUCUACCAAACCUCAGUUGCCUCGGCGGGCCGCCGGCCCCCUUCACCGGGGGCCGCCGUCGGCCUUUGCGCUCUCGAGCGCCCGCCGCAGGACUAUUAAACUCUUUUUGAAAUUAGCCUUCUGAGUGGUAUUUAAUGCUUCAAAAAAAACUUUCAACAACGGAUCUCUUGGUUCUGGCAUCGAUGAAGAACGCAGCGAAAUGCGAUAAGUAAUGUGAAUUGCAGAAUUCAGUGAAUCAUCGAAUCUUUGAACGCACAUUGCGCUCCUUGGUAUUCCGAGGAGCAUGCCUGUUCGAGCGUCAUUAUCAACCCUCAAGCACUGCUUGGUAUUGGGCGUCGUCCUUUACGGGACGGGCUCUAAAGACCUCGGCGGCGGUGAUCAGACCCUAAGCGUAGUAAAAUAUCAGCUUCGUGUGUUUGGCGCCGCUCUGCCUCGAGAAAACUCUCACCUCAAGGUUGACCUCGGAUCAGGUAGGGAUACCCGCUGAACUUAAGCAUAUCAAUAAGCGGAGGA